GGGAGGGGAGAAGGUGAAGGAGAUAGAGAUGAAGGGGUUGUGGGGUAGCGGGGAGAGCGGUGUUUAUUUACCGGUAGCUAAAGUAUAUUUGCUGGAGGGGGGUCGAGGGAGGGAGAAAAAGAAAGACAGGCAACUGGAAAUAAAAACAAAGUCAAAUUCAAAUUAAAAGGUCAAGAUAUGCUUCAGGUCAGAGAGAAACAAGAUUUGGAGCGUCCUGCUGCAGAAGGUCCGACCUAGUGGACAAGGAGGAGGGUGACUUGGGCCGCUCCCCCCACCCUGCACACCCCAAUUCCCAGAGACGGAAUUGGUUUGGAAAUGAUUUGAGUCAAGAAUUUUCUGCAAGCGUCUCUGGGCUUGUUUGGCCGGGAAAUAGCUCCGUGGCCAGCUGAGCCAUGUCUCGCCGUUUUCUUGGACAAGGUUAAAGGCUUUAAGGCAGCAGAAGAAGCUCAGGCGGCUUCACGCAAAGAACCAUUUGUCCCCCCACCCCAGCCCUUUCCCACCCCCUCCCCCCUUAGAAAGCGGCCCUACGCUUUAUGGCCAGUCUGUUUGUAUUAUCUGCAUAGUCUUUUCCCACCAGUUUGAUCGAAACCGUUCGCUUUUACGAGGACCCAACGAAAAUUCCCCCGUCAUAUUUAUCAGCCGAGGAUAAAAAUUUAGUAUGGGAACUGAUAUUUCCUCAUUUAUAGGGCGAUGAAAUUAAAGACCAAAGCAAUUGAGAAUUA
Monodelphis domestica (gray short-tailed opossum) is the source of this 722-nucleotide long non-coding RNA. RefSeq lists it as uncharacterized. Lineage: Eukaryota; Metazoa; Chordata; Mammalia; Didelphimorphia; Didelphidae. The record is from RefSeq and is a predicted model, not a curated record.